RNAcentral lists this ribosomal RNA (444 nucleotides) under Symbiodinium sp. Mp. RNAcentral describes it as "partial Bacterial large subunit ribosomal RNA". It matches the Rfam family "Bacterial large subunit ribosomal RNA", at positions 1972 to 2426 of the family's 2925-position model. The record is from RNAcentral. Lineage: Eukaryota; Dinophyceae; Suessiales; Symbiodiniaceae.
UCGGGUAAGUUCCGACCUGCACGAAUGGUGUAACGAUCUGGACACUGUCUCAACCGUGAGCUUGGUGAAAUUGUAGUAUCGGUGAAGAUGCCGGUUACUCGCAACGGGACGAAAAGACCCCAUGCACCUUCACUACAACUUUACAUUGACUUUGGGUAAAUAAUGUGUAGGAUAGGCGGGAGGCUUUGAAGUGGUGCCGCUAGGUAUCAUGGAGCCAAUGGUGAAAUACCGCCCUUUAUUUAUCUGGAGUCUAACUCCCCACGGGAGGACAUUGUAUGGUGGGUAGUUUGACUGGGGUGGUCGCCUCCAAAAAAGUAUCGGAGGCUUUCAAAGGUACCCUCAGUACGCUUGGUAACCGUACGCAGAGUGCAAUAGCAUAAGGGUGCUUGACUGUGAGACCUACAAGUCGAGCAGGGUCGAAAGACGGACUUAGUGAUCCGGUGG